GCUGUUUCCGGGGAGCGUGGUUUUUUUGCCUGCUUCGCUUCCUCGCUGCUAGGGAGCUAGAUAAGCGCUGCGCUUGUUGCUGCGGCGGCGGUAGCGCCUAGGGUCCGCGAUCGGCGCCUAGGGCAACGGCCACAGCUCCCCAGCACCUCCGCGGCGGCGGCUCCAGGAUUUCCUCCGCGGCGGCAGCUCCAGGAUUUCCUCCGCGGCGACGGUAGCAACACCUGGAGGCCCAGCGGUAGCCCUGUGGAGACGACUCCAUGCGGAAGCGGAAGCGUGCCACUACCCGUACCACCGCCUUCUUCCAGCAGAAGGGUCUCGUGGCGUGCGACCGGCGGCAGAGGUAGGCGCCGGCGUGGUUGUUCUGUCGUUCUUAGUAUGGGGUGGGUGCGCCGCCGUGCUGCGUCUUCCCGAUGUACCCAGAUAUCGCCGCGCGCGUUACCUUCCUGUGGAUACCCUUGUUCGAGUGGCUCCAGAACCUUAAGGUUGGAUCUAUUUGUUCACUUGAGUAAAAUUGUCAAAGGGAAAAAAACACUACGUCCGAUCGAGUAAGUAAUUCCCGAUGAGUCGAGACAAAAAAGGGAGGGAAACCUCUAACCUAAUAUACCAUGAGACACAACUUCCUAGACAAGUACGGUUUAAAUUAUUUAGAACAGUACAAAAGUAUCCAACGGAUAAAAGAGUGAGACGUACCUUACCACUUGCAAACAUCGUACCAGUGAACCAGUCCAAAACUAAUAAAAACAGUGACGUGUAUGGAAGUCUUUUAUUGGGUUACUCCGAUCGAACAAGAAAGAUGAAUAUGUGGAUGCGUACCCUACGAGACAAUCAAAACAACACGUUUAUUAGUAAUAAGGACAACUACUCGUUACUAUUACCGAGGGUUUUGAUGUUGUAAACGACGAAGUCACAUACACAUGGCUUAGCAUUUUCUUAUACUAAUAUAGAAAACGAAACAUCACGUGGACAAGUGCUCUUACUACGACUCUUCCGUUAUCCAGGACGAACGAUCGAAACAGUACCUGUGCGAAGUUUUGACAGAGACAGGUACCCCAAUAACUAAUGACGAACACUACAAAUUCUCACUACGUGUCCUUGUCCUAAUAAAAAUACACUUCCACCUAUCUUUAUUGAAAUGAACUCUUCCUCGAAAGGUAACGUAGACUAAACAUGAGAGUCAUAGUCUGAAGUAAGGACACUUCAUUGUAAACCCGUUUUACCCGUUGUACACAAACCAGUAACGGCACGAAACCAAAAAUCCGAGCACGAUACUAUUGAACUACUGUGGGGAAAUAUCUGUAAUAUCAUAUCUCGUAAGAGUACGUAAUUCAGGUCACGUUCCUUUUAACUAUUUCAGACGAUUGACCUUGUCCUAUCAACUAGGAAAGUUACCUCUCAUGUUUAAAUAACGUUAUUAGAUAUAUACGGCUUGGACAUGUGGAACGUUAUCCAUCUCUACCGAUUUAAAACAUCGAAAAACAAGGGAAAAAAGGGUAGUUUUAAUACCUAAACCUUCGAUAAGUACCUCACAAAGUCAACGGACGAUAUAAUACCUAAACGUUACUCGUGUUCGGACGUUGGAACUUCCUUUUCAACAACGACGACUUCUGUACUGUGACACCCACUCUAGAAAAUAAUACAAUCAUGUCUCAUGUCUGACUAUAAUACAGCGUCGUUGUUACAUAUCUCGAAGUCUCGAGUAAGAAGAGAAGUGUAUUCCAAGCCAAAUCUCAAGUACGAAACACGAAUAAUUUUUUGUUUCUUUUCCUUACUCAACGAACUAUAUAACCGUACAUAUAUCACAUUUUUUUGUACGAAUGUCAAGAUUGUACUUAAAAUGACUUGACUCUCAACACUAUACGUUUACAAAAUACCAGCUUCCAAGACAUGGUAGCCAAUAUAACAUAUUUUUACCAGAGACGAAAGUAGAAGAAACUACUGUAUAAAAGAACAUUUUUAACCUUACGUAAUACGUGGACAAGAAAAGUUCCACCAAGGUAAAAAACAGUUAAAUAUUUGAAAAAUACUUAUCAUUAUAUCUGCGUACAAGAAUUAGAUAAAACCUAAAAACAAGUGGGGCUUUACGUCACAUCUAGACGGUAACUGUAAAAAAACCUCGUGACCAACUUGUAAACGACUCUACAACUAUCCUUUUCGGAAACAAAGGAGUAUUUUACAACGGGUAAUCAAUUUGAAUAACCUAUGUACGUCACCCGUACUACUGGUACAUGUUGAAAAAAGUCAAUCUUAACACAGACGAUAACUAGAUAGAUUGAAUUAUGUUUCUUGAGACGUACAAAACCUUUGUUCUCCAUUACGUUUGUAAAUUAAGACAACACUUGAAGACUAAGUCGGAACCCCGUACCUGCCGCUCUUCACAUCCGUACACGGAUCGCAUGGCCUGGUACUACCUAACUACUCGACUACAGUACACCGCCGACCAAUUGGCCGCCGCCAACCUCGGUAGUAGGUGGUGCUCAAGCGCGAUCCUCGUGUACCCGUUUCCUCUCCUAUACAACCACGACAACCUUAUUCCAAAUAACCCAGCAGGAGGAGGUCGUUGUAUAAUGUGUUACAUGAAUUCGGCUAAAUAAGAGAAACCAUUUUUACCGGGAGUAAACGAACUAUUUUGAAAUGAAAGCAUUUUGAUUAACUCAAUCCUUGGUAUUGUAUAUGAUGAUGUAGAUACAGACCAUAGAUAGACUAAUAUAAUUUGACUGUCAAAUAAGAAGAACGACCUUCCCCACAGCACUUUCUACUAGACCUACGAUAAUUUCAAAAUAUAUACAACGACAGGUACACUCAGUAAAGAUACUUGAUACGAUGAUUAGCAGUGUAUUCCAGUAUACGAUUGAGAACUGGAUACAUGUGAAUUUCCAGGAGAGUGGAACCUAGUAUAGUUAGACGAUAGUUACCGACUCUGACUCGAAACUAAAGAGUGGUGCACGAAUUUAGAUAUAAAAAAUUUGUGGAGUUAGAAGGAACUUAAAAGACUAUGUGGUUCGUCGUAGCGUUCAAUUAACUUCAUUAACCAGAACUUUUGUACAUAAGAAAGGACAGGUGCUUUACAUUACGAAACCCCCUUGGAAGUUAGUUUGAAUUUUUAUUUAAUCAUGACUACAACAAAAAGUAUUUAGUACUUGGUUAUCUACAUGAACAAUCCUAUUGUACCUUCGACUGAAUCGACUGUCCAACCUACCUAUGAGUAAUACCCGUAAAGUUUACUACGGUAACAAACUUUUUUUUUCUUACUCAAGUAGUAAACGAAGUUUAAAAAACGAAACAAAAAUAUAUAACGUAAACUCCUCUGGUGUGCGAGAACUUUGAACUGUGAUAUAUAAGUAAUGAUAUACGUUGUUCAAUAUAAGCAAUAUAAAGAGAGAUACCCCGUAUGAUCUGAAUAAACGUCACUGUCUCCGUCCCCGCUCGACCCCGGGCCCGAUCGUAAAAAGUGUCGUUGUAAUGACCUCGAUGGUUUAUACUACAAGACCUCUUUUAAAUAAAACUACUAACACCUUUUCAAACCUCUGACCGCACACUAUAAUGACUAUUUCGUUUCUGUGUGUAUUAGACCUUUGUAUGUGGUACCUACUACGCGAACGCCGGUACCCCGUCACCUUAGGUUCGUGAACAAUUACGUACUUCUGUUCCCAACCCAACAUGAGGGAGGCAAGGUUUUAUAUUCAGAAAAUUCUCUAAGGUUAUUCCCCGAUGUAUGCCUCGUUUUACUCACUUAAAUGUAAGAUUUUAUACAGAUAUAUGUAGGCAUACAUCAGAAAAUCACUUUAGAAUCUUUCUGAAUAUAAAUCCUUGCCUCCCUCAUCUUUGGUACCUCGAGUCAGUUGAUAGUUAGGUACACUACUACAUAGAAAAUGAGAUGAUAGUUAUGUACACUACUACAUAGAAAAUGGAGGGUAAUCAAAGAACAUUUAGAAAUAGACCCAUAACUUUAAGUAUCAACUAAGAUAUAUAGAAAGGAACGG
This 3980-nucleotide ribosomal RNA is filed under the name Triticum aestivum (bread wheat). RNAcentral describes it as "partial small subunit ribosomal RNA". The record is from RNAcentral. Lineage: Eukaryota; Viridiplantae; Streptophyta; Magnoliopsida; Poales; Poaceae.